CCUACGGGUGGCUGCAGUGGGGAAUAUUGCACAAUGGGCGCAAGCCUGAUGCAGCCAUGCCGCGUGUGUGAAGAAGGCCUUCGGGUUGUAAAGCACUUUCAGCGGGGAGGAAGGCGUUAAGGUUAAUAACCUUGGCGAUUGACGUUACCCGCAGAAGAAGCACCGGCUAACUCCGUGCCAGCAGCCGCGGUAAUACGGAGGGUGCAAGCGUUAAUCGGAAUUACUGGGCGUAAAGCGCACGCAGGCGGUCUGUCAAGUCGGAUGUGAAAUCCCCGGGCUCAACCUGGGAACUGCAUUCGAAACUGGCAGGCUAGAGUCUUGUAGAGGGGGGUAGAAUUCCAGGUGUAGCGGUGAAAGGCGUAGAGAUCUGGAGGAAUACCGGUGGCGAAGGCGGCCCCCUGGACAAAGACUGACGCUCAGGUGCGAAAGCGUGGGGAGCAAACAGGAUUAGAUACCCUAGUAGUC
This 465-nucleotide ribosomal RNA is filed under the name uncultured Klebsiella sp. Its description in RNAcentral is "bacterial SSU rRNA". It matches the Rfam family "Bacterial small subunit ribosomal RNA", at positions 338 to 795 of the family's 1533-position model. Lineage: Bacteria; Pseudomonadati; Pseudomonadota; Gammaproteobacteria; Enterobacterales; Enterobacteriaceae. The record is from RNAcentral.